CUGGAAUGACUCACACUUUAGGUAAAGCAAAAUAAUGAAGGAGGAAGCUUCCUAAACUCGUUCGUAGAUAGACCAAUCUGACAUUAGGAGGAGGAGUGAGACAAUUUCUGGCAAAUGUCCCCAAGCUGUUAUAAAACUGAAAACUGUCUCGCUGCCUCCCACUUAGCUGAGCAUGCAAUAUUAGGAAUGCAGCUGAAGAGAUGCUGGCUUCCCUUCCCAUUUCUGCUAGGUGUAAAUGGCUUAUAGAGGAGUUUUAUACAUUCUGUUACUUCUCUGAGAAAUGUAAACGAAGAGAGAUGGAUGGGCCUUGGAAUCUUUUUAAUUCAUCUUUGAUCUUCCACGGUUGCUCCUGUUGUAAUAAAUAGAAGUUGUUUCUACGGCUUUUUAAUUAAUGUAAUGGGUUCAUUUUAUACUGCAAAGUGUCAUUUGAGUGACUGUUGGUAUGAUAGAGUUUCAUUGCUCAGAAAUGGUGAAACUGAUGCUUUAGUUGGGCAUUUUGUUGGUCAAAGAAUCCCACUUAGGAACUGAUGGAACAAAAGGUGUGCAAAAGGGACCUUGUUGAGGGAUAAAAUGCAAAUAAGGAAGAAGUUUCGAGAGAUGACAUUUUUAACAUUUGCUUGCAUUAAGAACGGCCACUCUGAUACGUCAAAUAAGUGUUGGAAAUGUGCACAGAAACCUGGUACCUUUUAUCAUAUGUGGUGGACUUGUGAUAAAGCAAAAAAAUAUUGGGUUAAAAUACACAGAUGGCUUGGGGAAAUGUUGCAAAGAUCUGUAAUGUUUAACCCAGAAAUAUUUCUGUGAGGCAUUCUCCCCAGUGAUCUGGAUAAAGUAUAUACUUGACUUUGCAUGUAAUAACAGUGGCAAGGAUCGCAUAUGCGCAAUGUUGGAGAAAUGAAGAGCUACCGGCUGAAGAUUUGAUCUUGAACAAGAUAUUAGACUGUGCAGAAAUGAAUAGACUGACUUUAUCUCUUAAGGAAAAGGAAGAUACAGUUUACUACCAAACAUGGGACUUUUUCUAUCAAUGGCUACAGAAUCAGAACUCUAAUUUGGGCUGAAAUACAUAACAUUGGUAGAGAGAAAUAAGACUUUGUACUCAGUAUGUUUGAAGUCUUUGAAAUAAUUAUUUGUUUAGUGAGUAGAAAUCAAUAAAACUUUGAAACCCAAAAGAAGGGCUACUCCUUAUUUUAGAAAUAAGGAUGAAAUAUGUGGGGAGAAACUGAACAGCGAAUGGAAAACCAUUUCAAAUGGUGUGAGGCCUAGCUGCAAAAGCAACUGUACUUGAUGGCCUUGAUAUUUAGGGAUUUUGUACAGCAUGGCAGCAUUCGCUUUCCAUAUCCACAUUGCCCGAAAUAGAGCAGGUGGCCUGCAAACUAUGUCAGUUUGUGCCAGUACUUUUCCAGUUCUGGUGCAAACCUUUAAAGGCCUAGAUGGCUUAGGGCCGAAAGAAACCCCGUCUCCCAUAAAUUAUCCAGACAUCGACAGUUGUCUGAGCCCUUCUCCAAGAGUGCCUGCCAAAUGAAGUAAGGUGGGUUGCUACAAGUGAGAAGGACUUUUCAGUGACGGCACCAUAAUUGCUGAAUUGCUUCCCAGGCAGCCUAUCUUGGCAUUUGUCUUAGGCCUUGCUGGUGUCAGGGAACGGUCUUUUAUUCCCUUAGGCAUUUUAAGAAUUGUUUUCAGUGCUUUUAGUAUUUCAUUCUGCUGCUCUUUUUAAUUUGGUUUUAUGAAGUUGCUAUGGCUUUAUUCAUUGUUGCUGAUUUUAUGUUGGUUCUAUGGCACUGUUUUUAAUUGUUUUAAUGGACAGAGCCCAAAGAACGUCAAUUAGAAGGCAGUUUAAAAAUACAGUGCAUGAAUGGAUGUUGAUUCACUGAUACCAGAGAGCAAAAAUGAGUCUAGAGAUCUGACUAGAUUUGCUUCAGCCAGUCCAGGAACAGCUUACACCCAAUAAUGCAAGAUUAUGGGUGCACUGGAAAACUUAUUUCAGAUUGCUUAAUGGUUUCCAGUCCACACAGACUUAAUGUUGAUUAUUGACAACUAGCCUAUAUAAAUUUGAUAAAACAGAUAUCAAGACCAUAACACUAGAAAGGCUGUGAGCAGUAUCCACAGUGGUGGCCCUUUAUUCUCAUAGAACUGGUUAUGCACAACAGGUUUCACAAUGGGUUGCACAAGUAUAAAGCACAAGCACCUGCACACUUAUGCUUGUGUGCAGAUAACUCCUGCUCAUGGUUCGGAACCAAGUUUCUUGCAGGUACACAGCUGAGCUGCAUUAUACUUUUGUGUCUGUUCAACGUUGUCUGGAAGAUUAUAGGGUUCUUUGGAGAACUCUAGGUCAUGUGGUCCUGUGCCCACCCCCUUGUGGCUGGCACAAAGAAACCACUCAAGCUUUGCCCCCCAUCCCACCUUGAGGCUCAGAGGGAGACAGAGGUGGAAUGCCAGGGCUGCAGGUUGACAGCAAUUUCAGUCAGUGUUCCAGGUUCCUUUCUUCCAUCCUCCAGCACUAAAUCUAGAUGACUGAAAACAGUCAUCAAGAGAAAAUUCCCAGCAUGAGGCAUGAUGGCAGCAGCAAUCGUCACAAUCUUGUCUCAUUCUGGACAUAGGUUGUAUAUAGGCCUCCAAGUUUGGAAGCUUAUGUGUACCAAGGAUGCAGGAUAUAGAAUGGUGCUCUGCAUGUAAAUUGCACAGAUAAAUAUUAUGCCAAUCUAUGCCCUCCUUUGUCUUUUUAUAGAAUGCUUAUCCACUUUUCAAGUGAAUGCUUAUCCACUACUGAGCUAUUGCUCAGUAGCAGGGAAAAUUCUACUUCUUGUGGAGUAAACUGGAAUAAGAGUGGUCAUGCUGCUACACCUCAAUCAAUUUAAGUUAGUGGAUUUCAACAGAUGCAACCCUGGCUGUGCCUGAGUAGACAAGAUACUUGCCAUCAACUUUUUGAAGAAAGCCAAGUCUGUCCCUAACUGAACUUAGGGAAAAAGAGGAACCAUUUAGGGGAAAGUCUGAAAAUUUGCUUUUGCAAAUGAUUUUUUCCUUUACUGAAGAAACCUAUCUUCCAGUAAGUCUUUUGGAGAAGUAAAUGUUCCCUCAUCACUUCUUCUGUGUUCACUCUCUGCAGGGUCCUUUGAUUUCAGGUUCCAUUGCUUUAAUCAAAUAAGAAGCUUGAGGCAGUGGUUGAAAAUAACAGAACACCUGAGAAUCUGAACAAAAUAAUGUGCAAAACCAAAUCCCAGUAUGGGCAGCAAUUCCUCUUAACCGAACAUUUGCCAGAACGACAUGUCACUGAGAAAGUGAGCCAGUGCAAGCGGAGAGGGCUUGAACACUGUGAUAAGAAGACAUGACUUUCAGUCUAAGUCUAUGCAAUCCAAAGUUCAACCAUAUUGCAUAGAAUGGCUCCAUGAAUGAGACUUCCCUUUGCCUGUCUUUUUUAUAAAGUCCAGGGCUAGAGAGAUGCUCUAUUUGCAAGUUAUUUUCAAGAUGAGCUAUGGAAAUUUCUGCCCAUAGCUCUUGGGAUGUCUGUGCUUAGUUGCUUCGGAUCCAAUCGGACAAUUACUUUUGAACAUGGGAAGACUGAUGAGCCUGUACCCUGUACACCCAAUACCUACUUGCUGGACUUACUCACUGAUUUUAACAGGACAAAUAAUAGCCCCCUCUCCCAUCAUGGAACGAGUGCCACACUGAGGCCUACCUGGCACCAACCUUACUAUCUUUUCGUUGCUAGAUUAAGACUGUCCUCUAGCACAGGGCAGUUAACUGCUUUACUGGGUCUUUGUUAGAGCUGUGUGUACAUACGUGUUUCAUGGAAGGUAAACAGAAUCCUUUGUUGUAUUUGUUUAGAGUAAUCCUUUAUUUGGCUGUGCACUAGUUGCAAUGUACCUAGUUGGUAGGCAAUGUCCAGCACCAAGAGUAUCGCCAUCUUGCUUCCUCCAUGAAUUGCUUCCUGCCUUCACUAUCAUCAUCAUCCAGUUCCUUUUUUAAAACAUGCAACUCAUUUAUCACUUCACUUUCAGGCAUGGCAGCUUUCCCCUGUCCAUCACCCUCCUUCUCAUCUCAUGUCUUGGACUGUAGUGCCCAAAUGCAGAGACAAGGCAGGCUCGUUAGCUUCUGUAUAAUAAGUGGCCCGUUCCUUUUAGAAUCAUUUCAGCAAGCACACUCAAGUCAUGCUCCACAGUAUCCCAUUCAUUGCACUGGGGAGGGGAAGAGGCUGAAUCCAAAGUCCUCUAAUUUCCAAAACCUCACAGCACACUAUGCAGAAAAGUUCUCAUGGGUAGUUCCCUUCUUCAUAGGAAUUGGGCAGGGAACUGCUGCAUUGAUGUCUGCAGAGAAAAAGUGCAUCAAAAUAAAAGAAUAGCUGCUGUUGUUUUCUAAGGUGUAAACCUGGCUUAGUAUUUCCCAUUGGGAUCUAAGCACCAGAUUUUGGCUCUUUCUCAGCAUAGAGUUUUCUGUCCGCAGCUCAUAGCUCUUAAUUUACAUGGGUGCUCAAAGGUGUAACUCCAUUGCUGACCUGCAAAGGUCUAUCUGUUUGUUUCAAAGGAAGGGAUGGCUUUAGUGCGUGAAAGCAGUGCAGAGCUUUGAGAAGCCUCACAGAAGAGCUGGGCCAUGCACAGUGUUGGAUGUAGUUUGCAACUCCUGACUCGGACAAAGUCCCAUGUCUAUCUUAGCUCACUUAUAGACCCAACUUACAUGUACUCCAGUCUGACAAAAUCACUGUGCUAUGAAGAGCACCAGGUGAACAACAAAUGCAAAUUGGCCUCUCAACUGAAGAAAACAAAUUCUCUUCAGGCCAUUUUUUAUAUACUUUCAUGUAGGUGGAGCAAAACAGCCUCCCCUCUCAGUAAACAGAGAGCAUAAUCUAAUUACUUAACUUGUGGAUGAUUGUGGACAGAUUUAUUUAUAGGUCUCUUCCAAAAUAUAACCAAGACCCCAGCCUUCUGCUGUUCCACUAACAGUGAAUGCACAGCGAUUGAGAAGCAACAGAGUUUGUUGGGCUUCUAUCCAUGCGUGUGCAUAUAGGACUGCUGCAUAAUCUAAGAGUGCAUUUUCCCUUUAAUAAUCUCAGCACAGAGAAAGGUUCAUUUUGCCACCGUUUAUGUAAGGUUAACUUGCAGUCCAGUGAUUUGGCAAGGCUCUGCAGUGACCUUCAUGGCUGAGUGCUGCUGGCUCAUUCACAACCAAGGAGCACCACAGUCCCUCGUGCUCAGCUAAAAUGACAAUUUCCCAUGGCCCUGAACUCACUGUGUCCUGUCGCCCUGCUGGAGUUCAUUCAGGACUGUGGCCAUGCGCAUGAGCUUUUAAUGUGAGUGUGAGACUAUUUCAGUCACUUUGAUUUGGGAAAGCAGUUUUAACAUCAUGGGAAGCAGUAAACAGAUCCUUUUUCUGACUCUUCCUUCUGAAUUCUUGGAAUAUCUGAACCAUGAAUGUGCAGUCCACAACUACUGCCUGCUUUUUGGCAAUCAGUGAGAACCAUGUACAGAAAUCAAAAGUGUGCCAUAGAUAGAUCUGUAGGGGAUUUUUUAGGUCUGCUAAAAAAUUAUUACUUUGCAUGUAGAUAAUUCUUCAACAUGCUCAAAGCACUUCAUGUCUAUCAGUUCAACCUUUGCAACAGCCUGUAAGUUAGUCCCACAUUCUAAUUGUCACAAUGUAGGAAGAGGCCAAAUUGGUUUAUGGCUAUGAGUCGAUUUGAACUGGAAACAACCUAACUCACAGCUCUCAGUACUCACAGCUUUGCAGUGCACUGGUACACACAGCAGAAGCGCUUAACUUUAAAUCAAGCAGUUUACAAAUGUUACAUGGUAUCUGUGUGCAGAGAAGCUUGUGGAAUUGCUUUCCUCUGAAUUUUCAAGAAAGGGGUAAGUAAACAGCUGUGUCUGUGGCUUCAGAAUAGUAUUCUCAUACUAUGGUAGGAAUAAGAUCUGAUAUUUCAUUAAAAUCUCUUCUAGGCUGCCUGAAUGCAAGGGGAGAUGUCUAGCAAAGGCCUCUGCAUGUUGAGCUGCACUCAUCCAAUAAUUUGAACUGGGGGCUUUUUAACUUUCCAGAAUUCCCUCCACUAUCUGUGUGACUUGCACUGUUUUGCAUUUCAUUCCCCAGCUUAGAUCCCAAGAUGCAUGUUUACCAAAGAAGCCGGCCCUCAGAAAUGAACAGGCACACAACCACUGGGUCUUUCAGCUAGUUUCUUUAAUAAGGUGGAGUCCUCCAUGCGUAUCAGCAGCCUUCCACCCAGCACUGGCACAGAAACAGAUGCCCAUCGGCAUAGCAAUGCACACUUGACCAGAUGCCUCUUUGGAUGUUCACUGGGACCUGUACCCACAUCUAGAAUUGCCAGCUGCUACAUGUGACUACUGGUAGAUCAGAACUGCUACCUGCAGGAUUUCUUUCUGUCUUAUUCCCACCAGUCCUACAGAUCUCAUCUUAGAGCCAAAUAUGAAACAACAACAUGAGCAGGAACAGUAACUCAAGGUCCAGGUACCCCCUGGAGGAUUUCUGUGCCCUUGAUCCCUGCCAGACUAAACCAAGGCAAUGACAGCGGAAGGCUGCUGACAUGCUGUGAAGCUGCUCUAGCUCUGUCUGAACCUUUGGCAGUCUCCACCCCCAGCCUGUUAGCCAUAAUUCCCAACUGCAUCCGCACAAAAUGCAGAAGCAGCAAAGCAGUCCCUAUCUGGAAACCAUGGCUUGGAAGAAAAGCAAAUUUACCUCUUCUUGCUUUAAAUCAUGAAUUUGAAUUGGGGAGAUGGUCCAUCAAGAAAACAGAAACUGAAGGAUGGUGCUAGCACGUGUAUCCUUCCCCCACCCACUGUACUUGCCUCCUUCCAUGAGUAACAAUCUGAACAGGGAGCCAAGUGGUCCAAGGUACUGAUAACUGACCCAGUGUGUAUAACAGAGAGGCCCUUCAAUGAUUACUGCAAAUGCUAGUAGCAAAUAUGGCUUAUCCCUUUGGGAUCAGCAAAGAAACCAUACAUGAUUUGGCAGCCAGACAGAGCAGGAGAAAUGGCUGCUUUGGAUGUAUCUUUGGUCCUUUUGUUGGAAUGGAUUCAUUCUCCCUCUAACCUCUUGCACUAGGCUCCCUCUUAGUUAAGUGUGACAUUGGGGGGAAGGAGAAGCCCCCAACUGAACAUUUUAGUUCCCUUUGAAUUCUCCAGCUCUGCUAACUAGCUGCUCAGUCUGUGGUCUGCUGGGCAAGCUGGCCUGUUCUUUCUUCACUGUCCUCUCAUCCAAUAGAUUCUGCCCCUCAAAGCAUUAAAAAAGAUGUGAGUCUCAGCUUCAGUCAGCUUCUCCCACACACCUUCAAUUCCAAAUACAAUAAAAAUUAGACCUUCCCACUAGAAACUUCUAGCUAACCAUGGUUUAGGUUGUUGUGUCAUCAAAAGAAAGAUGCCAGAGCAAAGCAUGAUGGGAAGUAUAUGCAAAUCAACCCAGGGCUACUGGGUUUUGUUUCAGGAUUGCAAAGCUACAUGAAGGUUCUUGUUGCAGCUUUUCAUGACAUAUCCAGCUUGUCACUUAGCAAGAAUCCAAUCCACUCAAAAGGGUGAGCCUUCCAAUGUCCACACGAAUAGUCAGCCUGCUAUGCUUGGUUAUUUGCACAAAUAUCCCAUGAUACUGUUCUUCAGAAAUAAAUACUUAGUGUUCUGUUCUGCAUUUGGACAGAAGAGUGGAAGCAUUUACAUGCAGUCACCUUUCCUCCCAACUUUCUUACCACUCCACUGUUCUAAUGGAGAAUGGAAAACUACUAGAGUACAGAAGUCCUACUGUAUUACUUAGUCAUUACAGAGAUAUUGGACAAUUGGCAGUGGGCAAACUGUAUGCCCAGAACUGCACUCCCCUCCCUGCCCUCUGUUAGAUGGCUAAUGGCCAAAGGCCACCAAGCCCAAAGUGUGAUGAUGCUCACAUGGUUCACAAGAGCACCAUUUCAUGCACUUUUCUAGUUUCCAAAGCAAGCACAGUGUAUCUGGUCAACUCACAUUGUCAGGCUCUGAUAUGAUCCUCAUACAAUAUUCAAAGGUCCAAUUUUAAGGAAGAAAAUCUCAAAGUGAGUAAAAGCAAAGCUAUUUGUGCUAAUAUUCAUGGUGGUCUCAGGGAAACCCAAGGAAGAAGUUUGCUUUGCCUUUGAAGAGAACAACAUGUAAAGAUGAUGGGACAUGCAGCAGACAAACUACUCUGAAGAAUGUGAAAGGAGCAACUGUGUCUUUGAAUUUCCCCCACUGGAUGCUCUUGAGUUCAUCCAGAAUCUCUCUACAGCCACCAAAGGAAGGGUAUUGCAGCUUAGAAAACUGAACAGAACAUAAACCAAAUGUUGCCUAACUGAGGUAUUGAUAGCUCUGGAUCACUUGAAUGUUCAGUAGGUGAUGC
Varanus komodoensis (Komodo dragon) is the source of this 8325-nucleotide long non-coding RNA. RefSeq lists it as uncharacterized. The record is from RefSeq and is a predicted model, not a curated record. NCBI's taxonomy places the organism in Eukaryota, Metazoa, Chordata, Lepidosauria, Squamata, Varanidae. The transcript is spliced from 3 exons.